RNAcentral lists this long non-coding RNA (1552 nucleotides) under Sus scrofa (pig). RNAcentral describes it as "lncRNA (ENSSSCG00000047798.2)". The record is from RNAcentral. Lineage: Eukaryota; Metazoa; Chordata; Mammalia; Artiodactyla; Suidae.
GGGGGGUCCAUUUCCUUGUAAGUUUUUAGUCUCUUGAAGCCUUUUUGGACUAAAAUCCCCAACAACCGAGGACUAAGACAUGUCUUUGCUUGUACACAUAGCUUCUGCGUUAGUUUUUCUCUUCUGUGGGGACCUACCAAGGUUACGCAGUGUGACUGUUGCGAUGUGAGUGCUUGGAGUGGGUAAAACAAGGUCACCGCCUUGCAGUUCCUCCCAGUUAGUGCUUCUCUCUGAGAAUUGGGGCUGACUUGGCACAAAGCAGUUGUCCUUGGCUUUUCCUUGCCCUUUUGGCCAAUUUAUUUCUCCUAAAGAAAGAAAAAAAUGAUUUCUGAACCCUUUUUUUUCUUUAAUUUUAAUUUUUUUAUUUAUUUUUAUUUUUUGGAGUUCCUCUUGUGGCUCGGUGGGUUAAGAAUCCAACUAGUAUCCGUGAGGAAGCAGAUUCAAUCCCCAGCCUCAUUCACUGGCUUAAGACCUGGUGUUGCUGCAAGCUGCGGUGUAAGAUGUGGCUCAGCUCUGGCAUUGCUGUGGCGUAGGCCAGUAGCUGCAACUCCCAUCCCUAGCCUGGGAACUUGAAAAAAAAAAGGGUUUUUUUCAUUUUUUUAAAAAUUUUUUAUGGUUGCACCAUAAAAAAGUUCCUAGACCGGGGACUGAAUCCAAGCAGCAGCUGCGACCUGUACCUCAUUUGCAGCAAUGCAGCAUCCUUUUAACCCACUGCACCGGGCCAGGGAUGGAACUCAUGCCUAUGAAGCAACCUGAGCUGCUACAGUGGUAUUCUUUUUUUUUUUGUCUUUUGUCUUUUGAGGACUGCACCCACCGCAUAUGGAGGUUCCCAUGCUAGGGGUCUAAUCAGAGCUGUUGCUGCCAGCCUACGCCACAGCCACAGCAACACCAGAUUCGAGCUGCGUCUGUGACCUACACCACAGCUCACGGCAAUGCCGGAUCCUUUAACUAUAGUGGGAUUCUUAACCCACUGUGCCACAGUGGGAAUUCCAGUUGUUAAAUACUCUUUUUUUCUUUCUCUAGGGCCACACCUGUGGCAUAUGGAUGUUCCGAGGCUAGGGAUCAAAUUGGAGCUGUCGAAUAGCCGCUGACCUACCCCACAGCCACAGCAACGCCAGAUCCUUAACCACCGAGCGAGGCCAGGGAUUGAACUCUCAUUCUCACGGAUAUUGGCGGGUUUGUAACUUGCUGGGUCACAGUGGGUACUUCAGUUUUUAAAUACGUUUAACAGCAAAACUUUGCAGUAAAAUGCAAGUAUACCUUCUCUGUACUUCCAACAAAGUAGUAGUUGACAUUUGCCAUCUUCUGUUGACAGUACAUUUUUAUAACAUGACAAUUUGGUCAAAUUUGCGCAUUUUACAAUGUCACUGAAUUGGACUAUGGUUUUCAGGUUGGGAAAGAAAAAAAAAAUCACACUUUAGUAAAAGACCAGUGGAUUAAUUAAACAACCUACUUAUGGAGUUCUCGUGGCAUGGUAGGUUAAGGAUUUGGUGGUGUCACUGCAGCAGCGUGAUCGACCCCGUGCCUGGGAACUUUCACCUGCCACAGGUGA